GGUUUUUAGAUAUGAUUAAAAAUCCAACCUGCUCAAUGCCAAAGUAAAUAGCCGCGGUAUUAUGACCGUGCAAAGGUAGCAUAAUCAUUUGUCUUUUAAUUGAGGACUGGAAUGAAAGGUUAGACUAAAUAUUUUUGUCUUAUGUUGAUACAUUGAAAUUUAUCAUUUAGUAAAAAAGCUAAAAUUUUUCUUAAAGACGAGAAGACCCUAUCAAGCUUUACAAUUUAUCUAUAUCAUCAAAUUAUAAAAAAAAUUGUUUUACUGGGGCAGUAGACAAAAUUAAUUUUGUUUUAUAAUUAUGAAAAGUACAUCUAGAAAAAUCAAGAAGUUCUUAAAUAAAAACAAGUUACUGUAGGGAUAACAGCAUAAUUUUUUUUAAGAGUUCUUAUCAUCAAAAAAUUUUGUGACCUCGAUGUUGGAUUAAGAGACCUUUUUCGCGCAAUAGCAAAAAAAGGAAGUCUGUUCGACUUUUAAUUUCUUCCA
This 483-nucleotide ribosomal RNA is filed under the name Vaejovis lapidicola. RNAcentral's name for it is "partial 16S ribosomal RNA". It matches the Rfam family "Bacterial large subunit ribosomal RNA", at positions 1889 to 2600 of the family's 2925-position model. The record is from RNAcentral. Lineage: Eukaryota; Metazoa; Arthropoda; Arachnida; Scorpiones; Vaejovidae.